This 292-nucleotide ribosomal RNA is filed under the name uncultured bacterium. RNAcentral's name for it is "partial 16S ribosomal RNA". It matches the Rfam family "Bacterial small subunit ribosomal RNA", at positions 505 to 796 of the family's 1533-position model. The record is from RNAcentral.
GUGUCAGCAGCCGCGGUAAUACGUAGGGGGCAAGCGUUAUCCGGAUUUAUUGGGCGUAAAGCGCGCGUAGGCGGCUUGCUAAGCGAGAUGUGAAAACCGGGGGCUCAACCCGCGGCCUGCAUCUCGAACUGGCAGGCUUGAGUCUGGUAGAGGAAAGUGGAAUUCCUGGUGUAGCGGUGAAAUGCGCAGAUAUCAGGAGGAACACCAGUGGCGAAGGCGGCUUUCUGGGCCACGACUGACGCUGAGGCGCGAAAGCUAGGGGAGCAAACAGGAUUAGAAACCCGCGUAGUCC